GUGAAAUUGAACUCGCUGUGAAGAUGCAGUGUACCCGCGGCAAGACGGAAAGACCCCGUGAACCUUUACUAUAGCUUGACACUGAACAUUGAGCCUUGAUGUGUAGGAUAGGUGGGAGGCUUUGAAGUGUGGACGCCAGUCUGCGUGGAGCCGACCUUGAAAUACCACCCUUUAAUGUUUGAUGUUCUAACGUGGACCCGUGAUCCGGGUUGCGGACAGUGUCUGGUGGGUAGUUUGACUGGGGCGGUCUCCUCCUAAAGAGUAACGGAGGA
This 272-nucleotide ribosomal RNA is filed under the name Salmonella enterica. Its description in RNAcentral is "partial 23S ribosomal RNA". It matches the Rfam family "Bacterial large subunit ribosomal RNA", at positions 2036 to 2307 of the family's 2925-position model. Lineage: Bacteria; Pseudomonadati; Pseudomonadota; Gammaproteobacteria; Enterobacterales; Enterobacteriaceae. RNAcentral also lists the same sequence under 1 other name. The record is from RNAcentral.